Molecule: RNA transcript, 1660 nt
Organism: Vespa velutina
Lineage: Eukaryota; Metazoa; Arthropoda; Insecta; Hymenoptera; Vespidae
Exons: 2
Source: RefSeq, a predicted model, not a curated record
GGCGAGGGUUCCUCUACUUUUACAGUAUAUCUAUAUGUAGAUGUGUGAGCGCGCGCGCGCGCGCGCGCGCGUGUGUGUGUGUGUGUGUGUGUGUGUGUAUCAUACAUAUCAUACGUACGUAGAAGCGUCCUGCCGCGAGAAGCAUUCAGCAUUAAUACGUAGAUUAGAUAUAUGAGAUGCAGGUAGAUAUAUCUCCGAUUUCGUAACUGAGAAUCUGUUAAGGAAUGUUUAUCGAGUCUUCAUCGAGUCUUUAUCGAGCCUUCAUCUAAUGUUCACCGAGCAGCUAUCGUUUGGUCUCCGUUUAAAGGCGAAUUACUAAAAUUUGUACGAUUUAAAGAGAAAGAGGGAUUAAUACAUCGUUCAUGAUACUGACGAUUAUACUAUAGCAGUAGUGGUUAUAAUAAUAAUGAUAAGAAGGAGGAGAGGAGACAUCAGAGGAGGAAGAAGCCUCUCGAGCGUGGCCGGGCUACUUUACCCGCAUGUGCACACGCGUGUCAUUGACCGAUGUGUCACGUUCAUUGGUGGCUCGAACGCUCGGAAUGAUCGCGAGGAGAAGAAGAGGAACAAAGAAGGCGAUGAGAAGGAAAGAAGGCGACGUAUGCAGGACGGUCCCGGUGGUGACGUAGGACGUAGGAAAGAGAAAAGGGGUGGGGGAGAUCCGCGAGUCGGGGGCACCGGCUAAUCUAAAGGAGCGACCCACGGGGUAUGUCGUUCGCUAAUCACCCUGAUGAAGCUUGAUGGGGCCAGCAGCAAUUGUCUCGAGUGAGAUCACUUUGCGCGCUCCGCAUCGCUACAUACUGGAAAGGUUCUAAAAGAAAAGCAAAAGCACGAUCGAAGGAGAGGAACGAACGGAAGUUAAAGGAAAAUGUCAGAGAAAGGGAUGGUGGGUGGGCGGAAGUGCUCUGUGCACCAUCAACGUGGGUAGGAGUGGAGCGGAAGGAGAGGAACGGGAAAGAGGGUAGAGCGGAAGGGCGGCAGAUAGAGGAAAGCGCGGAAAGGAUAGGGGUGAGAGAAGCGACGUAGUAUAGAGGGUGGUCGGUCGGUCGGUUGGUCGGUCGGUCGGUCGGUCGGUUGGCUGGUUGGUUGGCUGGCUGGCUGGCUGGCUGACUGGUUGGUUGGUUGGCUGGCUGGCUGGCUGGCUGACUGGCUGCUUGGAUGCCUAGGUGGGUGGUUGGGAUGGAAGCGGAUGAAACGGGAACCGGAACAAGGGUGGGGCAGGAACACGACGUCGACGCCGACGCCGACGCCGACGCCGACUACGACGCCGACGGCGGCCCCGGUCCCGAUACGGCGGAAGCGUCGCGUUUGCCGGAAGUCGCCAAGGAAAUGAAAUGCCUCCCAGCCAGCCAACCCUCGGGAGUUUCUGCGACGACUGAACAGGAAGUAGCGCUCCGCGCCAGAAUUUCUCGCAGUUCUCUUUUCUGUCUGGAGAACGUGCGAGUGGAUAGCAUCCACCGAGUUGCCAUCCAACUGAACGCGUUUCUCAACGUGAAGGAAGAUUACGAUUUAUUCUCUCUCGCAAUUACUAUUCUAUCUUAUCUAUUAACAUAUCUAUUUACGUAUCUGUGUCUGUGUAUAUGCAUAUACAUGUAUAUGUGUAUAUGCAUAUACAUGUAUAUGUGUGUAUAUAUAUAUAUAUAUAUAUAUGUAUACAUAUAUA